UGGGGAAUAUUGCACAAUGGGCGCAAGCCUGAUGCAGCCAUGCCGCGUGUGUGAAGAAGGCCUUCGGGUUGUAAAGCACUUUCAGCGAGGAGGAAGGUGGUGAACUUAAUACGUUCAUCAAUUGACGUUACUCGCAGAAGAAGCACCGGCUAACUCCGUGCCAGCAGCCGCGGUAAUACGGAGGGUGCAAGCGUUAAUCGGAAUUACUGGGCGUAAAGCGCACGCAGGCGGUUUGUUAAGUCAGAUGUGAAAUCCCCGGGCUCAACCUGGGAACUGCAUUUGAAACUGGCAAGCUAGAGUCUCGUAGAGGGGGGUAGAAUUCCAGGUGUAGCGGUGAAAUGCGUAGAGAUCUGGAGGAAUACCGGUGGCGAAGGCGGCCCCCUGGACGAAGACUGACGCUCAGGUGCGAAAGCGUGGGGCAGCAAACAGGAUUAGAUACCCUGGUAGUCCACGCUGUAAACGAUGUCGAUUUGGAGGUUGUGCCCUUGAGGCGUGGCUUCCGGAGCUAACGCGUUAAAUCGACCGCCUGGGGAGUACGGCCGCAAGGUU
RNAcentral lists this ribosomal RNA (549 nucleotides) under uncultured bacterium. Its description in RNAcentral is "partial 16S ribosomal RNA". It matches the Rfam family "Bacterial small subunit ribosomal RNA", at positions 355 to 895 of the family's 1533-position model. The record is from RNAcentral.